RNAcentral lists this transfer RNA (68 nucleotides) under Eupristina koningsbergeri. RNAcentral describes it as "tRNA-Asn". Lineage: Eukaryota; Metazoa; Arthropoda; Insecta; Hymenoptera; Agaonidae. The record is from RNAcentral.
UUAAUUGAAGCCAAAUUAGAGGCAUAUUAUUGUUAAUAAUAGAAUUAAGUAGUUUUACUUCAAUUAAA